CAGCACCUCAAGUGGUCAGGAUGAUUAUUGGGCCUAAAGCAUCCGUAGCCGGCUCUGUAAGUUUUCGGUUAAAUCUGUACGCUCAACGUACAGGCUGCCGGGAAUACUGCAGAGCUAGGGAGUGGGAGAGGUAGACGGUACUCGGUAGGAAGGGGUAAAAUCCUUUGAUCUAUUGAUGACCACCUGUGGCGAAGGCGGUCUACCAGAACACGUCCGACGGUGAGGGAUGAAAGCUGGGGGAGCACACCGGAUUAGAUACCCGAGUAGUCC
RNAcentral lists this ribosomal RNA (270 nucleotides) under uncultured archaeon. RNAcentral describes it as "partial 16S ribosomal RNA". It matches the Rfam family "Archaeal small subunit ribosomal RNA", at positions 477 to 747 of the family's 1478-position model. The record is from RNAcentral.